This 317-nucleotide long non-coding RNA is filed under the name Rattus norvegicus (Norway rat). RNAcentral describes it as "long non-coding RNA NONRATT028272". The record is from RNAcentral. Lineage: Eukaryota; Metazoa; Chordata; Mammalia; Rodentia; Muridae.
AGUUCAUGCCAAUAGUUCAAACAGCAAGUGAACACCACCAACCUGUGAAUGGAAGUUACUUUGCCCGUGCAAACCCUGCAGAUGGAAAGUGCCUGCUGGAGAAAUACAGCCAAAAGUAUCCUGACUUCGGAUGUGCAUUACUGGCUAACCUUUUUGCCAGUGAGGGCCAACCUGGCAAGGUGAUUAUGCCCAUAAGAACAUAGCAUUCCUUACAUCUUCCCUCAUAACUAAAUAUGAGCUUUUAUUGUCCCCAGUAUAGUUCUCCCAAGAAAAUCAGAUGGGCCAAUGCCAAAGUUUUUAUAUGACCUACUUAGUUU